GCUACGGGGAGCAGCAGUGAGGAAUAUUGGUCAAUGGGCGCGAGCCUGAACCAGCAAAGUAGCGUGAAGGAUGACUGCCCUACGGGUUGUAAACUUCUUUUAUAAAGGAAUAAAGUGAGGCAUGUGUGCCUUUUUGUAUGUACUUUAUGAAUAAGGCACGGCUAACUCCGUACCAGCAGCCGCGGUAAUACGGAGGAUCCGAGCGUUAUCCGGAUUUAUUGGGUUUAAAGGGUGGGUAGAUGGGUUGUUAAGUCAGUUGUGAAAGUUUGCGGCUAAACCGUAAAAUUGCAAUUGAUACUGGCAGUCUUGAGUACAGUUGAGGUAGGCGGAAUUCUUGGUGUAGCGGUGAAAUGCUUAGAUAUCACGAGGAACUCCGAUUGCGAAGGCAGCUUACUAAACUGCCACUGACAUUGAUGCUCGAAAGUGUGGGUAUCAAACAGGAUUAGAUACCCUAGUAGUC
Molecule: ribosomal RNA, 460 nt
Filed under: uncultured bacterium
Lineage: Bacteria
Description: partial 16S ribosomal RNA
Rfam family: Bacterial small subunit ribosomal RNA
Source: RNAcentral